Lactuca sativa (garden lettuce) is the source of this 992-nucleotide long non-coding RNA. RefSeq lists it as uncharacterized. The record is from RefSeq and is a predicted model, not a curated record. NCBI's taxonomy places the organism in Eukaryota, Viridiplantae, Streptophyta, Magnoliopsida, Asterales, Asteraceae.
AUGGGCAAUUCUGUUUAAUUUAAAUGUAGGUUUGAGUUACCCUUGACUUUUGACUGGGUCAAAAUCGAAACCCGAUUUCUGAUUGAAGUCUCGAUAUAGUCGAUCAAAAAGGCUCCAACAGGCGUCGUGUUCAAACGGACGAUGGAGAAGGAACGGGAACGAAAGCAAUGGACGAAUACAGUGAGAGGGGAAAACACGAAGGCUCGCAGGCACGACUUCGUUGCUCGACCACGAGAAGGUUCAUCUCCGGGGUUCGACUAGACUGAAGAACGAAGGGAGAAGCAGCGGAUGCGCUCUCCUCGGUCGUCUGCUAGGUGCGAAGGAGACGAAUGGAUUGGCGACGUGUGCGAUUGUCUCUGGGGUUUGACAAAGCCGAAGAGACGGAGAAGCAGCGAAGCUGCUGCGGUCUCGGUGGGGGCAGCGAUGGGGCGAUCGGCGGUUGAGAAACGAGGUCGAUUGAAGGCAGUGGCAAGUUGGAUCAGUGAGUAGUGGUGGGGAGGUACAACUGAUCUCCAGGGAGUCCUCGUGAUUUCCAUUCUCGUCUUCAGCAGUAGAACACAAAGAAGGAGCAGGGCAUUUAGGUGAUGAUUCUUCAACAGGAAAUGAACGGGAUCAACAGGAUUCGAUAGGGUUGUUGCUGUUUAACAAGGGAAAUAGGAAAACAGAUGAGGGAAAGGGGUGUUUUUGGCUGAUGAGGUUCAACAGGAAAAGGGGAAGGAUGGGACUGUCUUGGCCGGCGACAGUCACCGGUCUUCUUCUUUAUGUGGCCGACGAUCAAGAGGAACCGGAAGGAGGGCUCAAGGGUGAGGGAGACGUAUACUCAUGGUGUACCAAAUUAUUGAAAAUGAUAUAAAAUCUGAUUUUUCCCAAGAUUUAGUAGAUUGUAAUUGAUUUUAGGUGGUACAAAAUCAGAUUCAAAAAGAUAUCUGUUGUAAACUCAAAUGCAUUGUAUUUUUAUUUCUUUAUUUUGUGAUGAAAUCUCCGAUUCUCGA